This 3157-nucleotide long non-coding RNA is filed under the name Homo sapiens (human). Its description in RNAcentral is "HSALNT0328447". The record is from RNAcentral. Lineage: Eukaryota; Metazoa; Chordata; Mammalia; Primates; Hominidae.
UAAAAUAUUUUACUAGAUUGUAUUUAUGGUUAACAGUAUCUUGCACUACAAUUUAUAUUUAGAUAAUCAUUCAUUUUAAAAUUAUUUAUUGAGCACCUACUAUGUGUUAGGUAUUAGGUACAGAGCAAUGAAUACAGCAAGCACAGUUCCUCACCUCGUGGACCUGACACUGUAGUGUGAGAGAUAAUAAGCAAAUGAUAUAAGGCCAUGCAGUAGUUAAAUGCUAUGAAGAAACAUAAAAUCUGGUACAGGGACAGAGAGUAGGGAGGGAGCUCUUGUUAUAAAGGGUGGCCAGGAAAGACCAAGUUGUGUAGCAGAGGCCUGAAGGAAGCCAGGGACCAAGCCAUAUGAAUUUUCUCAGAUAGGUGUAUUCUAGUUAUAGAGAACAGCAACUGGAACGGUCCUGAGAAGGGAACAUUCCUGGAACAUUCAAGAACUAGCCAAGAGAUCAGCAAGUCUAUAGUAAAAAGAAACAUAGUAGAUAGUCAUCUAGUGUUUUCUUCUCUUCCUUCCUAUUAUCUCUCAUACCAUGUCAUGUUACUUUUCUAAAGGAUCUCAAUGGGGAAGAGAACAUCAUUGUCUUUAAGAUUCAAUUUUUUGUGUAUUGAAAGUCUUCAUGGUCAUUCUUUUGAGAUCAUGACCUACUACAACGUCCCCAGGCCUGCAUCCUCCACAGGCUCCAUGAGCAGAAAAGCAGACGAAUAGAAGAGCAGAGGAACAGAAGAAUAGCAGUGUGGCCGAGCAGCGUGGUAGAGAAAGAGGGAAGAGAAGCAGCAUCUGAAUGUUGAGAGGAGUUUGGCUGGGGACAGUCGGAGAGGAGAUUGGCCGCAGGACGACCCAACUCCAGGGGAGGAACAUCUUCCUACUCCAUUCGCUUCCCCACUCCCCAGCCAUUCCACUGAGAGCCACCUCCAUCUGGCAAUAAAAUCUCUUGCAUUCACUAUCCUUCAAUUUGCCUGUGUGACCUGAUUCUUCCUGGAUGCUGGACAAGAACCCAGCAUCCAGGUACCAAGAGGGCACUGGGCUGGAUAACACUUGAGCUGUCUGUGGACGGCAGAGCUAAAAGAGCACUGUAACAUGCCCACUGGGGCUUUGGGAGUUGCAGGCACCCACCCUGGAUGCUACUACCAUGGGGCUGGAGCCCAAAAGUGUUUGCCCCGCCUCCUGCACCUGCCCGUCUGCAUGCUCCCCCUCCAGUAAGGGGUUUGAGUGCACAGAGGCUGAACAGAUGAGCCACACCCCUGUCACACAUCCUGUGAAGGGGGUUAGGAAACUCUCCCAUUUCAUCUUGACCAUCUUUGAGGGACUAUUGAUGCUUUUGGUAUCAGCAGCCACAGAAUUCAUCAGACACAGCACAAAAGAGCAGGAGAAGAGAUAAUGGCAGAUGCCAGAAGGUUGUCCAGCUGGUUACUACCUCUCCUCUUCACCUGAUUAUACCUGAUUACUGCUGACUCGAUGGGCAGGGAGAGUCGCUGACUCCUGACAGAAAGACUCUGUCACCCCUUGCCAUUUAUUUUAGAUCCUGUGAAUCCUACUGUCAAUGUUGUGACACCUGCAAUGCCUGGGAUGAAGCUGCCCAUGUGGUGAGAUGCAGCCUGUGGAAGCCUCUUUUCAGUGGAGUGAGAGCCAAGCCCCCUUGGCUUUUCAUAGACAAUUGGUGAACGGGACAAGGAGACACUGUCCUUGGAUGUCUGAAAAAAAAAGAAAAAGAGCUGGGGAGGACUCCUGACCAGCGUGACACCUAACAUUGGAGUGAAGGGGCAGCAGAUGUGACUUGUUCCUCCUUGCCUUCCACCGUGAUUGUGAGACCUCUCCAGCCACGUGAAACGGAAUGGGAAAUACUCUUCUCCUACCACCAACUUGGCCACUCUCCAGUGACGAGGUUUCAGAAGCAGUGCAUUUUCAAGUUUCUGCCUCAGAAGAGAUCCAGUUUGGCAUUCUGUCUAAGUUCACUGCACAGAGACGGGUUUGGCUCUGUGAUUCAUCAGAAAUAAGAAAAACAAACACUGUAAAUGGAGAACUUGAAAAAGAGGUGGGCACCAUCUCCCCACCCAAGAGAAUGGAUUUAAGAGGAAAUUUGUUUAUGGGAUGAAGUUUUAAAAGGCGACCUGGAAAAUUUAGCAAAGAUGUAAAUAAACAACUCUUCCUUGGAUUGCAUUAGGCUUCAGAAUAAAUAUAUUAACCAGCUUCAGUCAAAGUCUGCCUAGAAUCUGACCCUGACAAGACCCAGUGACUAGUGCUGCUCCGAACCUUCCCCACCAACAGCAGGCAAUUUUCUCUGUGGCAAAGCUACCUCGAAACAGGCAUCCAGGCUUCCCUCCCACGAAGUGAAGAUGAGAAAACUGAGUCUCAGAAUGGACAAGCUCACAGAUGGCAAGUGGUAGAGCAGACUUCACACAUAGCCAUCUGAGUGAGAUGGGAAGCUGAUCCUCCAGCCCUGAUCAAGCCUUCAAAUGACUGCACCUCCAGCUGACAGAUUACCAAAAGCAACCUCCUUCCAGAAGACCUUGAGCCAAAACCACUCAGCUAAGCUACUUCCAGAUCCCUGAUCCUCGGAAACUGUGCGAGACAAUAAAUGUUUAAAUGGCCACCCACUUUGGAAUAAAGAGGACAUAUAAUUUGCCUAAGGUCACAUAGCACUCUCUAAAUCAGUACAGUAUUUUAGACAAAGCUUCAACUUUGCACUUUUAUGGGUCAUUUUGAUAUAAGACUACAAGGAUAUCUCCUCCCAUGACAAACUUGACUUCAUUUACAACAAAAGGCCAAGCAAGAUACAGUACACUGUGGGGAUAAAUGGUACUCACUGAGGACAGGAAUAUGCUGACAUUAUCUCAAUUUCCUCCUCCCUCCUGUUGUUCUCCUUUGGAUGCUUUCCUGGACUAUAGGGAGAAGGAAAAUAGAGAAAGGCCAACUGCGACUAGGCCAGAGAUCAGAUGUUACCUUGUAGGAAGCAUCUCAUUCUAACCUUAAGUACUCUCUUGAUGAAGUACGGGGCCAAGAGAUUUUGGAAUUCUACCACACAAGGUUGCUCAGCAUUCCAAGAAGUAUUGAUAACUCUUCAAGAGCAAAAGUCAUUUAAAUUAAACUUCUCUGGCCGGGCAUGGUAGCUCAUAUCUGUAAACCCAGCACUUUGGGAGGCUGAGGCUGGAAGAUCACU